RNAcentral lists this ribosomal RNA (1444 nucleotides) under uncultured bacterium. RNAcentral describes it as "bacterial SSU rRNA". It matches the Rfam family "Bacterial small subunit ribosomal RNA". The record is from RNAcentral.
GAUAAACGCUGGCGGCGCACAUAAGACAUGCAAGUCGAACGAACUUAAUACCUUGCUUGCAAGGUAAGCGGUUAGUGGCGGACUGGUGAGUAACACGUAAGAAAUCUGCCUAUCAGAGGGGAAUAACAGUGAGAAAUCACUGCUAAUACCGCAUAUGCCAUAGGAAUCGCAUGAUUCUAGUGGGAAAGGAGCAAUCCGCUGAUAGAUGAGCUUGCGUCUGAUUAGCUAGUUGGUGGGGUAAAGGCCUACCAAGGCGACGAUCAGUAGCCGGACUGAGAGGUUGAACGGCCACAUUGGGACUGAGAUACGGCCCAGACUCCUACGGGAGGCAGCAGUCGGGAAUAUUGCGCAAUGGAGGAAACUCUGACGCAGUGACGCCGCGUAUAGGAAGAAGGUUUUCGGAUUGUAAACUAUUGUCCACAGGGAAGAUAAAAGACUGUACCUGUGAAGAAAGCUCCGGCUAACUACGUGCCAGCAGCCGCGGUAAUACGUAGGGAGCAAGCGUUAUCCGGAAUUAUUGGGUGUAAAGGGUGCGUAGACGGGAUAACAAGUUAGUUGUGAAACCCCCCCGGCUCAACUGAGGAACUGCAACUAAAACUAUUAUUCUUGAGUGCAGGAGAGGAAAGUGGAAUUCCUAGUGUAGCGGUGAAAUGCGUAGAUAUUAGGAAGAACACCGGUGGCGAAGGCGACUUUCUGGACUGUAACUGACGUUGAGGCACGAAAGUGUGGGGAGCAAACAGGAUUAGAUACCCUGGUAGUCCACACUGUAAACGAUGGAUACUAGGUGUAGGAGAUAUUAAAGCUUCUGUGCCGUCGCUAACGCAGUAAGUAUCCCACCUGGGGAGUACGACCGCAAGGUUGAAACUCAAAGGAAUUGACGGGGGCCCGCACAAGCAGUGGAGUAUGUGGUUUAAUUCGAAGCAACGCGAAGAACCUUACCAGGGCUUGACAUACAAGUGAAUGUCUAAGAGAUUAGGCAGUAUUUCGGUACACUUGUACAGGUGGUGCAUGGUUGUCGUCAGCUCGUGUCGUGAGAUGUUAGGUUAAGUCCUGCAACGAGCGCAACCCCUAUACUUAGUUGCCAGCACGUAAAGGUGGGAACUCUAAGUAGACUGCCGGUGAUAAAUCGGAGGAAGGUGGGGACGACGUCAAAUCAUCAUGCCCUUUAUGUCCUGGGCUACACACGUACUACAAUGGCUAUAACAAAGAGAAGCGAGACGGAGACGUUAAGCGAAACCCAAAAAAGUAGUCUCAGUUCGGAUUGAAGGCUGAAAUUCGCCUUCAUGAAGCCGGAAUUGCUAGUAAUGGCAGGUCAGCAUACUGCCGUGAAUACGUUCCCGGGCCUUGUACACACCGCCCGUCACACCAUGAGAGUUGGGAAUACCCGAAGCCUGUGAGCUAACGUAAGAGGCAGCAGUCGAAGGUAGAAUCAAUGAUUGGGGUG